Molecule: unclassified non-coding RNA, 667 nt
Filed under: Daphnia pulex (common water flea)
Lineage: Eukaryota; Metazoa; Arthropoda; Branchiopoda; Diplostraca; Daphniidae
Description: uncharacterized LOC124199363, transcript variant X2
Source: RNAcentral
CACCGAGACACUCUUGACUCUUCGUCUUCGUCUGUGCUUUUUUGUUAAGCGUGACAAGUGGCCAACAUCAAAAUCACUUGCCGCAAACGAAAGACGACACUAAUCUUCGUUUAGAAUACGAAACUUUGAAAACUCGAUUAGAGAGCAUCGAGAUUCAAUUUGACCGGCUGAGCUGAGAGGAAGUCCGACUGCUAAAAACAAAGGCUAGCGAAAAAGAUUUACAUACGGGUGAUGUCGCCUCAUCUAUAAAGGUGGAAUUCCAAGAUCUUGUCAUGAAGCCCGAUUGGCUGACCCUUCAUUGUCCACCGGCGUUUACUGGAUUGAUCCCGACGGCCAAGGUGUUGGAGACGAUCCCAUUCAAGUAAAUUGCGACAUGUCUUCAGGAAUGACAAUUAUUGGACACGACACCGAAGCAUCGACAAACGUCGGCCAUUGCACAGAUCCCGGCUGUUAUACGAAACCAAUCGUGUACCAAGCAUCACUAAAACAGAUCACAGCCCUUACACAACUUUCAUCGGAUUGUCGGCAGUCAAUUAAGUACGAGUGCUACUCAGCUCCUCUGCAGUUUGAUGGCGUCGAAUAUUCCUGGUGGAACGACCGCAACGGUAACGAGCAAUAUUACUGGCACGGUAGCGAUAACUCCACACAUAUGUGUUCGUGUGGAAUU